GAUGAACGCUGGCGGCGUGCUUAACACAUGCAAGUCGAACGAAGCACUUUAAUCGAUUUCUUCGGAUUGAAAUUUUAGUGACUGAGUGGCGGACGGGUGAGUAACGCGUGGGUAACCUGCCUCACACAGGGGGAUAACAGUUGGAACGGCUGUUAAUACCGCAUAAGCGCACAGUACCGCAUGGUACGGUGUGUAAAACUCCGGUGGUGUGAGAUGGACCCGCGUCUGAUUAGCUAGUUGGCAGGGCAGCGGCCUACCCAGGCGACGAUCAGUAGCCGACCUGAGAGGGGGACCGGCCACAGUGGGACUGAGACACGGCCCAAACUCCUACGGGAGGCAGCAGUGGGGAAUAUUGCACAAUGGGGGAAACCCUGAUGCAGCGACGCCGCGUGAGCGAAGAAGUAUUUCGGUAUGUAAAGCUCUAUCAGCAGGGAAGAAGAAAUGACGGUACCUGACUAAGAAGCACCGGCUAAAUACGUGCCAGCAGCCGCCGUAA
Molecule: ribosomal RNA, 496 nt
Filed under: uncultured bacterium
Lineage: Bacteria
Description: partial 16S ribosomal RNA
Rfam family: Bacterial small subunit ribosomal RNA
Source: RNAcentral